GCUAUUGUAAUAUUGCAGGUAGGAGAUCAUGAGCCUCGGUGGCUUGAGUGGACAUGGAAAGAGAAAUAGGAAGACAUCAAAGGGCAUCAUGCACGAAGAAUUAAGGGAAAUGUGUAAUGUGAAGUUAACCUCAAUGUGAUGUGCCAAGGGCAUGUGAAAUCACAAGGAGAAAGUGCAGUAUUUACUGAGUGAGCAGCUAUUCCAGUCAAUGAGAAGGGAAAUUACUUAUCAUCAAACUUAAUGCAUGAAGAGGCAGGGGAUUCUAGGAAGAUGGACGUUUCUGCAUUCUUGCUACUCUCAACUCCAUUCCAACUCAUCUGUCUCUCCUCAGCCAGUGACUCCUGAGGGCAGUGUCAGACAUUUCAGCUAGUGCCUCUGUACUCUGAAAAAUACCUGGAAAGGACACACCAGAAAGAAGAAGCCACUGAACAGGAAAAGGCCAUGAGAGAUGAGAAGAUGAUCAACGGAAGAGGAUAUAGGAUGAAGAUACACAAGUUCGGGUGGGGAGGAGAUGAAGAAAAAGAAGAGGAUAAUUGGAAGGAAAUAUCUUUCUCUACCCCUGACCAAAUUGACUGGUUUGAGUUUGUUGCCUGACGUAAGCAGCAUCAAUGGGCCCAAGGCUGUGGUACAUAAAGCCCACAAACUAUGUGGAUCACGGUAUUCAUCCAGAUUGGAGAAGAAUAAGGCUGCCAUUUUAGGCCAAAAGGGAGGAGAAUAAGUACCUACAACUACCUGAAGUUAACUCAGUUGUUUAUUUACUGCCUGUCUCACCUAUUAGAAUAUACAUUCCACUGAGCAGUGACUUCAUCCUGUUCAAUCACCUUUGAUCUUCACUGCCAAGAAUAAAACUGAAGAAGUAAACAUGUGCCUGUCUGGGCCGUUGAAGAAUGAGAGGUUUGUGAAGCAAAGCUGAGAUGCUUCAGUCUUCCAACCAUGGACAUCGUCAGUCAGCUGACAGCCAGCUAACCCCAGACAUGAGAAUGAGCCCAGCCAAGAUCAGUAGCACCACCGAAGCCACUAACAGUCAACCACAGAGGAACAUUUGGCUAAUAAGAUUAUACCAGAUCAUCCACCAAUGUGCCAUCCUAACUAUGUAAAUGACAGAGAUCUGAAGAUCAUUUUGUUUUCUAUAUGACAAAGUGAAAGUUAUUUACCUCUAUACUAAACAUGUACUGGAAUUGAUAUCAUUAAAUUUUGCCUUA
This 1202-nucleotide long non-coding RNA is filed under the name Homo sapiens (human). Its description in RNAcentral is "HSALNT0309188". The record is from RNAcentral. Lineage: Eukaryota; Metazoa; Chordata; Mammalia; Primates; Hominidae.